RNAcentral lists this long non-coding RNA (201 nucleotides) under Sorghum bicolor (sorghum). RNAcentral describes it as "long non-coding RNA (SBIC_LNC001283)". The record is from RNAcentral. Lineage: Eukaryota; Viridiplantae; Streptophyta; Magnoliopsida; Poales; Poaceae.
UAUGCCUAAUAAAACUGAAAAUAUUAAUUAUGAUUAUAAAAGCUAUCUACUCUGUAUUGAGUUUGUUCAAAAUGAGUUAGACCCCUGUGAGAGAUUUAUCAUGCUCCUAAGAUCAAGACAUUUAUUCAGAAAGAUUCACUCUUCCGAAGUAUUAUUGCAUUAGAGGCAUGGGCUAUGCAAAAAUAAAGAUAUUAUGAGGAA